AGAGUUUGAUCCUGGCUCAGAACGAACGCUGGCGGCGUGUCUUAAGCAUGCAAGUCGAGCGGCAAGGCGGGGCAACCCGCCCUAGAGCGGCGGACUGGUGAGUAACACGUGGGUGAUCUACCCUUGGUUUGGGGAUAGUCCGUGGAAACAUGGGGUAAUACCGAAUACGACGUCAUGGCUGCGGCCAUGACGGGAAAGGCGCUAAGGCGCCGACCGAGGAUGAGCCCGCGUCCCAUUAGCUAGUUGGUGAGGUAACGGCCCACCAAGGCGAUGAUGGGUAGCCGGCCUGAGAGGGUGUACGGCCACACUGGGACUGAGAUACGGCCCAGACUCCUACGGGAGGCAGCAGUAGGGAAUAUUGCGCAAUGGACGAAAGUCUGACGCAGCCACGCCGCGUGGAUGAUGAAGCUUUUCGGAGUGUAAAAUCCUGUCAGUGGGGAAGAACCGGUCGGGGAGUAACUGCCCCGGCCCUGACGGUACCCGCAGAGGAAGUUCCGGCUAACUCCGUGCCAGCAGCCGCGGUAAUACGGGGGGAACAAGCGUUGUUCGGAUUCACUGGGCGUAAAGGGCGUGUAGGCGGAUUUGCAAGUCAGAUGUGAAAACCGGCGGCUCAACCACCGGCCUGCAUCUGAUACUGCUAAUCUUGAGUACGGUAGAGGAAAGUGGAAUUCCAGGUGUAGCGGUGACAUGCGUAGAUAUCUGGAAGAACACCGGUGACGAAGGCGGCUUUCUGGACCGAUACUGACGCUGAGGCGCGAAAGCCAGGGGAGCAAACAGGAUUAGAUACCCUGGUAGUCCUGGCCGUAAAC
RNAcentral lists this ribosomal RNA (809 nucleotides) under uncultured bacterium. Its description in RNAcentral is "bacterial SSU rRNA". It matches the Rfam family "Bacterial small subunit ribosomal RNA", at positions 8 to 807 of the family's 1533-position model. The record is from RNAcentral.